GUUAGGAAGUGGUCUCCUGUGCCCAUGCAUUGAAGACUACUUCCCACUUUCUCUUCUAUCAGGUUUAGCUACGAAUCCUACUUCUGGAGGAAAACUCAGACAAGGAUUUAAUAAAUCUUCUAAAAAAGAUUAACUCCUAGAGGCCAGACUGGCUUCCUGUUGCUCUGCAGCCUGGACAGUCGGGCACCCAGAAACACCUACCACAGAAGGCCAUAAACAUCUGUUCUCAUCUGGCAUCAUUAGAACAAGUGAUAGACGUUUAGAUUUCAAGUUUAUCUACUCCUUUGAUGCUUUUCAAAAGUUAUUAAACUUAUCAGCCUAUAUCAUAAUGUCCGGGUUAAAGAUUCAAAGAUUUCCUUGAAGUGUCUUUCA
Molecule: long non-coding RNA, 372 nt
Organism: Chionomys nivalis (European snow vole)
Lineage: Eukaryota; Metazoa; Chordata; Mammalia; Rodentia; Cricetidae
Exons: 3
Source: RefSeq, a predicted model, not a curated record